Molecule: ribosomal RNA, 520 nt
Filed under: uncultured Glomus
Lineage: Eukaryota; Fungi; Glomeromycota; Glomeromycetes; Glomerales; Glomeraceae
Description: SSU rRNA
Rfam family: Eukaryotic small subunit ribosomal RNA
Source: RNAcentral
AGCAGCCGCGGUAAUUCCAGCUCCAAUAGCGUAUAUUAAAGUUGUUGCAGUUAAAAAGCUCGUAGUUGAAUUUCGGGAUCAAUUUAUCGGUCGUGCCAAUGGUAUGAACUGGUACAAUUGGUUUCUCCCUUCUGACGAAGCAUGAUGUCAUUAAUUUGGUGUCGUGGGGAAUCAGGACUGUUACUUUGAAAAAAUUAGAGUGUUUAAAGCAAGCAUUAGCUUGAAUACAUUAGCAUGGAAUAAUGAAAUAGGACGUUUGAUCCUAUUUCGUUGGUUUCUAGGAUCGACGUAAUGAUUAAUAGGGAUAGUUGGGGGCAUUAGUAUUCAAUUGUCAGAGGUGAAAUUCUUGGAUUUAUUGAAGACUAACUACUGCGAAAGCAUUUGCCAAGGAUGUUUUCAUUAAUCAAGAACGAAAGUUAGGGGAUCGAAGACGAUCAGAUACCGUCGUAGUCUUAACCAUAAACUAUGCCGACUAGGGAUCGGAUGAUGUUAAUUUUUUAAUGUACUCAUUCGGCGUCCG